This 939-nucleotide ribosomal RNA is filed under the name Eurytoma brunniventris. Its description in RNAcentral is "bacterial SSU rRNA". It matches the Rfam family "Bacterial small subunit ribosomal RNA", at positions 8 to 942 of the family's 1533-position model. The record is from RNAcentral. Lineage: Eukaryota; Metazoa; Arthropoda; Insecta; Hymenoptera; Eurytomidae.
AGAGUUUGAUCAUGGCUCAGAUUGAACGCUGGCGGCAGGCCUAACACAUGCAAGUCGAGCGGUAGAGAGAAGCUUGCUUCUCUUGAGAGCGGCGGACGGGUGAGUAAAGCCUAGGAAUCUGCCUGGUAGUGGGGGAUAACGUUCGGAAACGGACGCUAAUACCGCAUACGUCCUACGGGAGAAAGCAGGGGACCUUCGGGCCUUGCGCUAUCAGAUGAGCCUAGGUCGGAUUAGCUAGUUGGUGAGGUAAUGGCUCACCAAGGCGACGAUCCGUAACUGGUCUGAGAGGAUGAUCAGUCACACUGGAACUGAGACACGGUCCAGACUCCUACGGGAGGCAGCAGUGGGGAAUAUUGGACAAUGGGCGAAAGCCUGAUCCAGCCAUGCCGCGUGUGUGAAGAAGGUCUUCGGAUUGUAAAGCACUUUAAGUUGGGAGGAAGGGCAGUUACCUAAUACGUGAUUGUUUUGACGUUACCGACAGAAUAAGCACCGGCUAACUCUGUGCCAGCAGCCGCGGUAAUACAGAGGGUGCAAGCGUUAAUCGGAAUUACUGGGCGUAAAGCGCGCGUAGGUGGUUUGUUAAGUUGGAUGUGAAAUCCCCGGGCUCAACCUGGGAACUGCAUUCAAAACUGACUGACUAGAGUGUGGUAGAGGGUGGUGGAAUUUCCUGUGUAGCGGUGAAAUGCGUAGAUAUAGGAAGGAACACCAGUGGCGAAGGCGACCACCUGGACCAACACUGACACUGAGGUGCGAAAGCGUGGGGAGCAAACAGGAUUAGAUACCCUGGUAGUCCACGCCGUAAACGAUGUCAACUAGCCGUUGGGAGCCUUGAGCUCUUAGUGGCGCAGCUAACGCAUUAAGUUGACCGCCUGGGGAGUACGGCCGCAAGGUUAAAACUCAAAUGAAUUGACGGGGGCCCGCACAAGCGGUGGAGCAUGU